AUUGUCGAUGAUGUUUUACCACACACAAAUUUUUGAGUUUUAAGUGGCCAUGAGAAUACUUUACAUGCACUACCAUCUGAGACAUC
Thalassophryne amazonica is the source of this 86-nucleotide small nucleolar RNA. The record is from RefSeq and is a predicted model, not a curated record. Lineage: Eukaryota; Metazoa; Chordata; Actinopteri; Batrachoidiformes; Batrachoididae.